This 468-nucleotide ribosomal RNA is filed under the name uncultured bacterium. Its description in RNAcentral is "partial 16S ribosomal RNA". It matches the Rfam family "Bacterial small subunit ribosomal RNA", at positions 28 to 507 of the family's 1533-position model. The record is from RNAcentral.
GACGAACGCUGGCGGCGUGCUUAACACAUGCAAGUCGAACGGAAAGGCCCUGCUUUUGUGGGGUGCUCGAGUGGCGAACGGGUGAGUAACACGUGAGUAACCUGCCCUUGACUUUGGGAUAACUUCAGGAAACUGGGGCUAAUACCGGAUAGGAGCUCCUGCUGCAUGGUGGGGGUUGGAAAGUUUCGGCGGUUGGGGAUGGACUCGCGGCUUAUCAGCUUGUUGGUGGGGUAGUGGCUUACCAAGGCUUUGACGGGUAGCCGGCCUGAGAGGGUGACCGACCACAUUGGGACUGAGAUACGGCCCAGACUCCUACGGGAGGCAGCAGUGGGGAAUAUUGCACAAUGGGCGGAAGCCUGAUGCAGCAACGCCGCGUGCGGGAUGACGGUCUUCGGGUUGUAAACCGCUUUCGCCUGUGACGAAGCGUGAGUGACGGUAAUGGGUAAAGAAGCACCGGCUAACUACGUG